This 77-nucleotide transfer RNA is filed under the name Salmonella sp. FORC89. RNAcentral describes it as "tRNA-Asp". The record is from RNAcentral. Lineage: Bacteria; Pseudomonadati; Pseudomonadota; Gammaproteobacteria; Enterobacterales; Enterobacteriaceae.
UAGCCACAGCGGUUAGCGGCAUGUCUGUCUAUGCACAGGCGGCGGUUCAACCGAAAGAAGAAACCAUUACCGUAACC